Molecule: long non-coding RNA, 532 nt
Filed under: Bos taurus (domestic cattle)
Lineage: Eukaryota; Metazoa; Chordata; Mammalia; Artiodactyla; Bovidae
Description: long non-coding RNA NONBTAT018093
Source: RNAcentral
CUUAAAGAACAUCUUUAUUUAACCUUUAAUAUACAAUAUUACCUUUAAUUUAUAAAAAUUACGUAUGGAGGACAUAACUGGAAAUCACUUCAGGAGUGGCCGGUGGGUACCGAUUUAGGAGGUUAUACUUGCCCCACUUAUUAGUUUAGGGAAAAAUUAUACCAGUGAAUUUGAGACCAGUAAGAUUGAGAAAUGGCAUUUCAACUUCUGAAUCCAGUAUUAAAACUGAGGAUGCUUUAUUCAAACUAUCCAACAAAAACUAAUUUCUAAAUUUUCUAAAAAAUAACUUUUCCCAAGAGGUGAGCUUAUCUCCAUGGAUUUUUCUGGUAUAUAAUUUGCAGUAGAAGUCUGUAGCUUUCAAAUAGCUGCAAUACAUAUUUAAUUAUUUAAAAUCUUCUGCAGAUUAACAUACGUACUAGCAAUGUGGUGGGCUCAAAGGUUAAAGUGGAUUAGUUGUUAAACAGUUAAAAGGCUGAGGAUGCUUUAAUUUAAAUAUAAUGCACACUGACAUUAUGAAAUACUUUUGACUUGA